This 228-nucleotide long non-coding RNA is filed under the name Zea mays. Its description in RNAcentral is "long non-coding RNA NONZMAT002983". The record is from RNAcentral. Lineage: Eukaryota; Viridiplantae; Streptophyta; Magnoliopsida; Poales; Poaceae.
AACCCCGACGACGACGAGAGCAGCGCAGGGCGAUCGGCACGGCGAACGACCAAGCGACCGGGACAUGGAGGGCAGCUCGCCGGAGGGUCGAGGUCGGCUGGGGGGCAGGGCUGGCCGCCGCCAUGGCCACGGCUAGCGGCUGCAGCCAGCCGGCUGCCGUGCGCACAGGCCCGGACCUGCCUUGCCGCGUCCGCGGGAGCGGUUGGUGGCUGUGCAAGGGUGAGAGAG